RNAcentral lists this transfer RNA (65 nucleotides) under Dipodomys ordii (Ord's kangaroo rat). It matches the Rfam family "tRNA". Rfam says of the family: Transfer RNA (tRNA) molecules are approximately 80 nucleotides in length. Lineage: Eukaryota; Metazoa; Chordata; Mammalia; Rodentia; Heteromyidae. The record is from Rfam by way of RNAcentral.
GGUGGCUCAGUGGUAGAGCAUUUGCCUUGUAUGCCAGAGGCCGUGGGUUCGAUUCCUCAGCACCA